This 22-nucleotide microRNA is filed under the name Medicago truncatula (barrel medic). RNAcentral describes it as "mtr-miR5219". Lineage: Eukaryota; Viridiplantae; Streptophyta; Magnoliopsida; Fabales; Fabaceae. The record is from miRBase by way of RNAcentral.
UCAUGGAAUCUCAGCUGCUGCA